This 249-nucleotide ribosomal RNA is filed under the name Sutcliffiella horikoshii. RNAcentral's name for it is "Bacillus horikoshii partial 23S ribosomal RNA". It matches the Rfam family "Bacterial large subunit ribosomal RNA", at positions 2680 to 2925 of the family's 2925-position model. The record is from RNAcentral. Lineage: Bacteria; Bacillati; Bacillota; Bacilli; Caryophanales; Bacillaceae.
AGUACGAGAGGACCGGGAUGGACGCACCGCUGGUGUACCAGUUGUCUUGCCAAAGGCAUAGCUGGGUAGCUACGUGCGGACGGGAUAAGUGCUGAAAGCAUCUAAGCAUGAAGCCCCCCUCAAGAUGAGAUUUCCUUUUGCUUCGGCAAGUAAGAUCCCUGAAAGAUGAUCAGGUAGAUAGGUUCGAGGUGGAAGCGUGGCGACACGUGCAGCUGACGAAUACUAAUCGAUCGAGGACUUAACCCAAUU